GUUCUCCCCGAAAGCUAUUUAGGUAGCGCCUCGUGAACUCAUCUUCGGGGGUAGAGCACUGUUUCGACUAGGGGGUCAUCCCGACUUACCAACUCGAUGCAAACUACGAAUACCGAAGAAUGUUAUCACGGGAGACACACGGCGGGUGCUAACGUUCGUCGUGAAGAGGGAAACAACCCAGACCGCCAGCUAAGGUCCCAAAGUCAUAGUUAAGUGGGAAACGAAGUGGGAAGGCUCAGACAGCCAGGAUGUUGGCUUAGAAGCAGCCAUCAUUUAAAGAAAGCGUAAUAGCUCACUGGUCGAGUCGGCCUGCGCGGAAGAUGUAACGGGGCUAAACUAUGCACCGAAGCUGCGGCAGCGAUAUGUAAAUAUUGUUGGGUAGGGGAGCGUUCUGUAAGCCUGUGAAGGUGUACUGUGAGGUAUGCUGGAGGUAUCAGAAGUGCGAAUGCUGACAUAAGUAACGAUAAUGCGGGUGAAAAACCCGCACGCCGGAAGACCAAGGGUUCCUGUCCAACGUUAAUCGGGGCAGGGUGAGUCGACCCCUAAGGCGAGGCAGAAAUGCGUAGUCGAUGGGAAACGGGUUAAUAUUCCCGUACUGGUGAUAAUUGCGAUGGGGGGACGGAGAAGGCUAGGCUGGCCGGGCGACGGUUGUCCCGGUUUAAGGAUGUAGGCAGGUGAA
RNAcentral lists this ribosomal RNA (679 nucleotides) under Providencia rettgeri. RNAcentral describes it as "partial 23S ribosomal RNA". It matches the Rfam family "Bacterial large subunit ribosomal RNA", at positions 852 to 1532 of the family's 2925-position model. Lineage: Bacteria; Pseudomonadati; Pseudomonadota; Gammaproteobacteria; Enterobacterales; Morganellaceae. The record is from RNAcentral.